AAUGAACGCUGGCGGCGCGCCUAAUACAUGCAAGUCGAGCGAGAAGACGUAGCAAUACGUUUGUAAAGCGGCGAACGGGUGAGGAAUACAUGGGUAACCUACCCUAGAGUGGGGAAUAACUAGCCGAAAGGUUAGCUAAUACCGCGUACGCUCCUUGGACUUCGGUUCAGGGAGGAAAGCGAUGCCGAGGGUAUCGCGCUCUUGGAUGGGCUCAUGUCCUAUCAGCUUGUUGGGAGGUAACGGCUCACCAAGGCUUCGACGGGUAGCUGGUCUGAGAGGACGAUCAGCCACACUGGCACUGCGACACGGGCCAGACUCCUACGGGAGGCAGCAGUAAGGAAUAUUGCACAAUGGGCGAAAGCCUGACGCAGCGACGCCGC
This 380-nucleotide ribosomal RNA is filed under the name uncultured bacterium. RNAcentral describes it as "bacterial SSU rRNA". It matches the Rfam family "Bacterial small subunit ribosomal RNA", at positions 29 to 400 of the family's 1533-position model. The record is from RNAcentral.